This 509-nucleotide ribosomal RNA is filed under the name uncultured bacterium. RNAcentral describes it as "bacterial SSU rRNA". It matches the Rfam family "Bacterial small subunit ribosomal RNA", at positions 28 to 526 of the family's 1533-position model. The record is from RNAcentral.
GACGAACGCUGGCGGCGUGCCUAAUACAUGCAAGUCGAGCGGACUUUGCCUUCGGGUAAAGUUAGCGGCGGACGGGUGAGUAACACGUGGGUAACCUGCCCAUAAGACCGGGAUAACAUUCGGAAACGAAUGCUAAUACCGGAUACGCGAAUCGGUCGCAUGAUCGAAUCGGGAAAGGCGGAGCAAUCUGCCACUUAUGGAUGGACCCGCGGCGCAUUAGCUAGUUGGUGGGGUAACGGCUCACCAAGGCGACGAUGCGUAGCCGACCUGAGUGGGUGAUCGGCCACACUGGGACUGAGACACGGCCCAGACUCCUACGGGAGGCAGCAGUAGGGAAUCUUCCGCAAUGGACGAAAGUCUGACGGAGCAACGCCGCGUGAGUGAUGAAGGUUUUCGGAUCGUAAAGCUCUGUUGCCAGGGAAGAACGCUUGCGAGAGUAACUGCUCGCAAGGUGACGGUACCUGAGAAGAAAGCCCCGGCUAACUACGUGCCAGCAGCCGCCGUAAAAC